CGUACAUAAGUUCCGAAAAACUCACUGGUACGAGCCGGGGUUUGAACCCGCGACCUCCAGAUUGAAAGUCGCACGCUCUUACCGCUAGGCCACGAGCGCUUUAUCCCGUAACCUACAAUUGUAUUUUAUUGUAUUGUAUACAUUAAAUUCAGGUGAUAAAUUAAAUUAAAAUAAUCAUUUAAUUCAGGCAUAACCUAUAUAAGUGUUAGUAACAAAAUUUACAUUUACACACUAAUGUUAUAAUUUCACAAAAUCUACCAAAUUCAAAACAGUAUUAGGGUACAAUACAAUAAUUGAUGAGCCACACACUUUGAUAAAAAAAAAAUAAUAGUGUAUUUUGACUAGCAUCACGAGUUGUAAAUUAAUUAAAACAUAAAAACAUGUCAUUAAAAAAUAAUCCAUAAACGUCAGCAAUAAAUAUACUUACAUAUGUAUAAAACUUAUAAAAUUACAAUUAUUAUAUUAUUUAAUAAAAUAGGACAAUCAUUAAUUAAUAAUAAGUUUAAUUGCUUUAUUUUUGUGAUUAUGGAGCUCGGAACAAUUUGGAUUUAGAACUGGUUUUGACACGACCUUGAAGAUCGCCAACGUUGAUUGGUGCAUUUGAAAUGAACCGAAAGUCGUUCGUGAGAUGCGCGCUAAUCACAAAGACGAUCGCCCAACUAGGAAACAAAUCAGGUUUUUUAAAGUAGUCAGUGUACGAGUAUUCCCAUCCCCGCCGGGCACAGAUGGGAAUAGGCGCUAUAUACAAAUCAUUCCCAUCUGUGCCCGCCUCUUGUAUGGCGGUGGUUACGUGGGGCGGGCACAGAUGAGAAUACACCAAGUAGCCACACUACUAUGUUGAAAUUAUUCAUGGAACAUUAAAGUAUUUUUGAUAUUCCACCGACACCUGUAAAAAUUGAAUGUCCAAUUCGUCCUUUGUGUUUUCUAUGUAUUUAAUGAAAGCUACUGCAUUUGGUUUCACUAUCAAUUAACCAAUUAAAACUAUGGUUUUUUGCCCAAGUCAUGGAUGUAUGGCGCAAUUAAGUUUCAAACUAACAAAUAUCAAUGAAAAAUUAAACUUAAGCAGCUCUUUGGCUCUUGUUUAUGGCUAAAUGUUGCUAGCGUUUAAAAAUUGAUGGUAAAUACUUGUUUUACAGGAUUUGUCUAUACCAUCCCAUUACUGGUGUCUGUUCCAUUAUAGGGGUGUUUACUAGUGUAUAUACGAUACGAUAUACGAUCGUCACAGUUGUAUCAAAACAUCAAAUGUUUAAAUCUAAAUCGAGCUCCAUGGUACAGCAUGGCACUUCGAAUGUAAAGAGCCAAUUAUUUCCUAAUGUCAUGGAAUGGACUGUCAUGAACUUUGAAAUAGCCAUUAACCGUUUUAAAAGAAUUCAUUUGUCAAACAAACGGGAUUAAUAUUUAUUACGGUAAAAGCUGGUAACAGCGCUAACGCAAGAUUACUGUAAGAUUAAUCAACUUAUAAUUAUUUAUUAAAACACUCUUGACAAGUUACGAGUAUUCGCAUAAAGCUACAAGUCAAUCUCGUGUUUAUGGCAAGCGACAAAGUGUGACGUUUUGCCGGCCGCGGUCGCAAUAUUUAUACUAUAAUAUUUCUACUGUUUUUGUUAGUAUUGAACUCUAAGAACAUUUUCAUGGUAACUACUGGGAAUAAAAUUCCAGUAGUUACCACUGGUAACAACUUAGUGGUAACUAGUGGGAAUAACCUAAAUAUACAGAGUGAUGUCAGUGAUUACUAUUACGCUGCACAAAUUUCUUCAAUGAUGUAUAAUAACUAAGUAGUAGGCGUUAUCAUGAAGCCUUCGACCAUGAAUAUUCAGAGUAAAGUUAAAAUUUCUGGACGCAACGGCCACGUUCCCGCGAACAGAACUGUCAACUUCAUUGUGUUUAUUCAUGUAAGCCGACGACCAUUAGGGCAUAAUAAAAUAAAACGUUUUUAACUGAAAAUAACAGUUAACAUUUUAUAAGAAUAUGAAAAAAUAAAGAAAAUAGUGUUAACAGUGACGAAUUGCAAAAUUGGAGGGAAAAAACCACAAGAUCGGAGAAGAAAAUGCAACUUUCGCGUUCAAGGUCAAUUGCGGCGUCCUUUCGUCGAUAGCAUAGCUACACGGACGUGAUAAAUAUCGAGAUAAAAAUGUAGCAGGCCAUGGAUGUACCUACAUUAAUAGUGCCAGCGAACGAAUGUUUAAUGCAUACAUAACUAAAAUUCCGAAAAGGAACAUAAACGUCGGCAAGUGAAGAAUGAAGCGAGUUAAUUUUGACCUUGUUGGAAGGAGGCACCGCACCAGAAGGUUAAAUAUGGGAAUAAUCCUUCUAGGACAAUCUUGUUGUUUGCUUGCAGAUAUAUAAUUACGAACAUUACAAAACAACAAUGACCCGGACAAGAUUAUGAAAAAAUACUCUGCCUUGUUAAAUUACUAGUGCUCUGAAGAUGAACCCAGAGACUCAAGCUGCGGCUGGUGAGACGUUUGUCAGUUGGGAACAAGGCUAGGUAUUGAAAUGAAACAAAAUAAAGUUUCCUGUGACCUGUUCUCUCACUGUGAUGAUUUAGCACUCAAUAAAUUGUCUGCUGUAACCAGCUAUGAAAAGGUAAUGUCACUCUUAAGUGACCACUGGUUUUUUGUGUGAUUAUUAUCACUGAGAAUCUUACCUAAGGCAGCUGUUCAAUUAUUAAAUCACAAUCAAUGGCAUAAGAGGUUUUUAAAUCAUUUACUUAAACAUGCUGUUGACAAGUGGUGUUUUAAGAAAGUUUAGCAGAAGUACUAAUGACUUCUAAAUUAUUGUAAGUCCUAAUGCCCGGUACUUUAAACUUCAAGGGCUCAACUAUCAAUAUUUUUUUUCUAAUGUAUGUUUUGCUGUUGCUUUUCUUUGUUAUCAUAUAAUAAAGUAUUUAUUACUUAUUUACUAACAACAUACAAAAACCCUGGUCAAAAGCAGCAAUAAGGAAGCGGAGCAACACUUUCCCCUUUGCAUCACAAUGUGGUCGCACUCAGCGACACCACAACAGCCUGUGUUCAUUUAGAACAAAUUCUUGAAAGUUGUGGUUAACUUAAAUACAUUUUUUGUCAGUGCAAUGACAUCAUAUUUACAAGGACCCAAGGAUUUUGUCCUGGUUAAUCAUACAUUAAUUCUGAAAAAUGAUUACUAUUGAGCAAUCGACAGUCAAUACUAGGAAGUUAUGUGACUGUGAUAUAUACUGUGUGUACAAAAUAUAUGCCUAUGAUGUUCUUACACAAGAAUAUACACUUUACACAGCUUAAUAUUUAACUAAAAUAUUUUAUGUACAAAACCCUAAGGGAAGUAAAUACAGUUAUAUUUUUAAUAUAAGUAAAUUGAUUGCAACUAAGCAUUGGAAUUGCCAUGAAACUAAUUGUUGCAUGAACACCUUUUACUUGAUUUUAUGAGAGUAGAAAAUAUCUCUGAUUCAUGUGGAAAGCUGAGAUUACAGUUUUAAGUCCUGUCAUUAGACUAUUUGACUAUAUGUCUCUCUAGCUAUGUAUCAGACCUUUCAUGAAGUGUCCAAGAUCUAGAGGUCACACAAUGAGCAACUGUUUAGAUGUUAUAUCUAUUGUCCUUAUGAUAAAUGUUUUUAGACUAUGUAGGUACCUAUGCAAGAUGCACUCUAUUAUUCUUGAUACCAUAUGGAGCUAGGUAUAAUCAAAUUAAACUAGCUCCUUAGUACCUUAGAAAGCUGUCUAAUAUCUGGAUUUAUUUCUUUACCCAAUAAGAAACAAUGUCAAUAUAUCACCUAGUGUGACUUAUUUUGGUGGCUAAUUGAAAGUAAAGGGUUAUAAAUAUACUUUUUGAAGAUAUUUAUUUACUAUACAGUAAUAGUUUAUUGACCUGCUGGGGCAACCGUGUGGAAAUGAGUUAUCUGUGGGAUUAUGGAAGGAGCCUAUUAAUAGAAUACAUUACAUUAAUUUUAUUCAGCUUAAUGGUGGUCUUUAUAUUUAAAGACGUUUCUUUCCGAUUUACCAGACUGUGACAUACUUCUGAGAAAAUACAACACAGCUAUCUCAAUUAUAAACCGCUUUGGUGAACUGAAAUACUACUGUACAGUAUUUUUACCUCAAAACCAUCGAUGUUCGAUGCUCAAAACAAUGUUGAGGAACAAUUGGCAUUGGUGUGAAACGAGACAUUACAAUAUUAGUCUUAAAUAUUAUAGGUGAACUGUGUCAUAGCUGAUUGAGAGAUAACUAUAUAAGAUUUCGGAGAUAAAACGUAAAUUAAACAAUGAAUAUUUAGAAAUUUCCUGCAUCAUUUUGGAACUCAUAUACCGAGUUAUUGGAGUCGCGCAGAUGAAAUAUGUGAACGCUAUAUAUAUCCUGGUGUAGUAACCCAGAUAUUUUUUCUACAUAGAUGCUUGCACAUUUUCUUUGAUGAAUUAUUUUAUCUAUGCUUUUCUUCCAUUCGAAAUGAAAUUUAAGGUACCUAUUAAAGUUUUAGGUAAUGCAGAAGACAUGGCAACAACCAUAUUGUACACAGUUUUUACAAAUACUUACAUGUUACAUACAAUUGUAUAGAUUUGAGCGCCAGCUCACAUUUAUAAAAACUUAUUCCAUUAA
Long non-coding RNA from Cydia pomonella (codling moth), 4562 nucleotides. RefSeq lists it as uncharacterized. The transcript has 2 exons. The record is from RefSeq and is a predicted model, not a curated record. NCBI's taxonomy places the organism in Eukaryota, Metazoa, Arthropoda, Insecta, Lepidoptera, Tortricidae.